Molecule: ribosomal RNA, 467 nt
Filed under: uncultured bacterium
Lineage: Bacteria
Description: partial 16S ribosomal RNA
Rfam family: Bacterial small subunit ribosomal RNA
Source: RNAcentral
GACGAACGCUGGCGGCGUGCUUAACACAUGCAAGUCGAACGGAAAGGCCCUGCUUUUGUGGGGUGCUCGAGUGGCGAACGGGUGAGUAACACGUGAGUAACCUGCCCUUGACUUUGGGAUAACUUCAGGAAACUGGGGCUAAUACCGGAUAGGAGCUCCUGCUGCAUGGUGGGGGUUGGAAAGUUUCGGCGGUUGGGGAUGGACUCGCGGCUUAUCAGCUUGUUGGUGGGGUAGUGGCUUACCAAGGCUUUGACGGGUAGCCGGCCUGAGAGGGUGACCGGCCACAUGGGGACGGGGUUACGGCCAGGACUCUAACGGGGGGCAGCGGGGGGAAUUAUUGCAAAUGGGCGGAAGCCUGAUGCAGCAACGCCGCGUGCGGGAUGACGGCCUUCGGGUUGUAAACCGCUUUCGCCUGUGACGAAGCGUGAGUGACGGUAAUGGGUAAAGAAGCACCGGCUAACUACGUG